UGCUCUGUAAGCUCAUCAGCAGGGCUCAUCACUCCCUGGCCCUUGGGAAGGUCUGAGACUGGGGCCUUCCAUGGCCCUAACAGGGACCUCUCCGAGUGGGGAGGUGAGCUUCCAGAGAGCAGGGCUCCACAAGUGGGCAGACUUGGCAAGAAAGUCUUCAAUAACUUUUAAGGAGUACAAAGGGUUCCUGAAUCUUGAGAAAUGCUGAAGUAGUUGAGUGACAUAUAGACUCUUCUGAGAUUCUAUAAUCAUGUAUAUAGGGGAUGGGUGACAAAGUCUGAAAGUGUUUUGCCUUUUCAGUUACGUUUUCAUUCCCAUUACCUUUGUUUCCUUAGGAAUAUAAUAUGGUAGAGAAAUAGAAAAGGUUCUGACACUAACAGAAAUUCAUCUAGAUAAGUACAAUUAAAAUAUUAGAAAUUGGCAAUGUUAAAACAAAUUAAAUGCUCAGCA
Mesocricetus auratus (golden hamster) is the source of this 450-nucleotide non-coding RNA. The record is from Rfam. NCBI's taxonomy places the organism in Eukaryota, Metazoa, Chordata, Mammalia, Rodentia, Cricetidae.